GACGAACGCUGGCGGCGUGCCUAACACAUGCAAGUCGAACGGGACUCAGCCCUUCGGGACUGAGUUUAGUGGCGAACGGGUGAGUAACGCGUGAGGAACUUGCCUUUCAGUGGGGGACGAACAGUUGGAAACGACUGCUAAUACCGCAUAAAACUUUCGAGCGGCAUCGUUUGAAAGUCAAAGAUUUAUUGCUGAAAGAUGGCCUCGCGUCUGAUUAGCUGGUUGGUGAGGUAACGGCCCACCAAGGCGACGAUCAGUAGCCGGUCUGAGAGGAUGAACGGCCACAUUGGGACUGAGAUACGGCCCAGACUCCUACGGGAGGCAGCAGUGGGGAAUAUUGGGCAAUGGGGGGAAACCCUGACCCAGCAACGCCGCGUGAAGG
This 382-nucleotide ribosomal RNA is filed under the name uncultured bacterium. RNAcentral describes it as "bacterial SSU rRNA". It matches the Rfam family "Bacterial small subunit ribosomal RNA", at positions 28 to 407 of the family's 1533-position model. The record is from RNAcentral.